RNAcentral lists this small RNA (1710 nucleotides) under Histoplasma capsulatum. RNAcentral's name for it is "hypothetical RNA". The record is from RNAcentral. Lineage: Eukaryota; Fungi; Ascomycota; Eurotiomycetes; Onygenales; Ajellomycetaceae. RNAcentral also lists the same sequence under 1 other name.
GCUACCUGAAAUACGAGGAAAUAAGAACCCAGGACUCCGCAUCCCCAAACUUCUGCACAACAAGCCCAGCGCUUCCAGGGUUCGCAUACCCCGCCUCCUUCUGCCGCUCGUAGCUCACCAUUCGCAGUCGCUGGCUCUCCCGCGGCGUCAGUUGCAAGUAUAUCUCCACACCCACGAUAUGCAUAAACAUCGCAAGCCACAGCGCCAACCCGAAGGACAUGCUAAGAUUUGCACCGAUCUGCGCGGGCUCAACGCCGUUAUCAUCCGCCUUGACGAUAGCGACCGGAUCGUAGCCAGGCGGCAGCGAUGAGCCAUUGGACGGCGGUGCACACAUGGGGUACGCCACUAGAUAGGAGACCGGGAUCUUGUAGAACUUCCAAGUGAAAUCGAUCUUCUCGCACGACCAGACGGCGUAGUACGUGCCCAGCUUGUUGAUGAUUCUGGAGGUGAUUUCCUGCAAAGGGCGGACGGUCACGAUACUCCCCAUGUAGAACAUGGCGCGCAGCAUCCAGGCACGGUGCUGUUCGAUCUGCAGACAGCGGAUGUUGUAGUAGGCCAUGCCGACGCUGGCGGUGCUGAUGAGCACGAGCAGGCCGAUGGCUAGUUGCACAUCGUGCCCGCCGCCGAAAGCGUGGCGGGCGAUCAUCAAGGCGCCAGCGUUGGAGAUGAGGAAUAGAGUGAUGAUGAUAUAUCCGUUGAUGCGGUGGAAGAGGAUCGCUCGGUGUCGGAUUGAGGGGAUGAAUUGGAAGAUCAAGAGGAUUGCACAGGGAAGGAUGGUGCCCAGAUGAAGGGUGAUGCCGACCUUUCUGAAGCCAGUGUGUUGGUGGAACCAUUCACCAGGAGCGGUGCCGCUGGCAUAACGUCCGGUGAUGUCGAGGUAUUGCAGGCGUGCGAGGGUGAAGCCGAAUAGGCCUCCGGCAAAGAUGAAGAAAAGGAUAAAGUUGUACGACUUUUUGAAGCCCGUAAUCCCGAGGAUUGAUUCCCAGAUAGUCAUAGUUGAAGACAGGAGGAGGGUGUUUAAGAAGUAAUCUUGGAGGGAAUUAUCGAGUGGCCUAUUCGAACAAUUAUGUUCACAUGGGUUUAAAACUCGUCCCAAGAACCCAUUGAUGAUAGAUCUCGUCGAUCUAUAUAUAUAUGACAGCAGCCAAAGUGCUCCUGGAAGGGAGGAUAUGAUAUCGCAUCCCCAUGAGACGCGCAUACUGUGCCGUUCCCCGUCACCACCCCCUGCAUGGCUCAAGAAUACACAAUGCCAAUCCAUCACGGUAGCAUUUUAGUGUGCCUUGCGAAGAGUCAAGUUGUGGCCUCACCCGCCAACACAAGUAAGAAGACGUCGUAACUAGAAUGUUAUACGAAAAUUGCUUAACUGCGGACGUCAGCAGUCUGCCUUUUGGUUUGGAAGGGCUUUCAAAGCCUUUUCAUCCAUAAACGGACAAAAGAAUCGUCAAUCAAAACCAAAAAAAAAAAGAAGAAAAAUAUCAUCAGCAGUAGAAUACCCAUGAUUGCUCAAUCGCGGUCGCCCGGCUAUGAAUUCUCUCAGUCAAGAGUUUAUUUUGUCCAAUGAACUUAGAAAGAAACGAGCCUUCCUCAGCCUCUGAAUACGAGAACAUCCACCUGUUCAAGGUUGGAGUUCACAUAGGGGAGAGGAAUCGUCACGGCGUUCAUUACGCGUCUUCGAUCUAAGAUAGAUAACUCUCCAUUAGGUGUACAAUC